CGAGUCGGCCGGGCGACCGCGGUAACGGGAACGGACACCAACGGUGUCGCUGCCCGGUACCGAGGAAAGUCCGGACUCCACAGAGCAGGGCGGUUGUUAACGGCAACCCGGGGCGACCCGCGGGACAGUGCCACAGAGAACAGACCGCCGCACGCGAGUGCGGUAAGGGUGAAACGGUGCGGUAAGAGCGCACCAGCGCCCCGGGUGACCGGGGCGGCUAGGUAAACCCCGCCCGGAGCAAGGUCAAAGGUCGCAUCGGCAACGGUGCGGCUGCGCAGGUGUUCGAGGGCUGCUCGCCCGAGCCUGCGGGUGGACCGCUCGAGGCACCCGGCAACGGUGUGUCCAGAUGGAUGGUCGCCCCCCGAUGCGAAUCGGGGACAGGAUCCGGCUUACAGGCCGGCUCGCCCG
Nocardia sp. Root136 is the source of this 408-nucleotide non-coding RNA. The record is from Rfam. NCBI's taxonomy places the organism in Bacteria, Bacillati, Actinomycetota, Actinomycetes, Mycobacteriales, Nocardiaceae.